This is a long non-coding RNA of Oncorhynchus tshawytscha (Chinook salmon), 447 nucleotides long. NCBI's taxonomy places the organism in Eukaryota, Metazoa, Chordata, Actinopteri, Salmoniformes, Salmonidae. The record is from Ensembl.
GGCACAACUCGUAUAUAAAAUAAUUUUCCUCAAAGUUGUCGGUAUGCCUCGUGUGUACUUAUAUUGGUACUUUUGUAACAACCGAAACAUCACAAAACUUAUAUUCAAUCAUAUAAUAAAUAAGCCAUUCAAUUGUUUGUUGACCAAAUUCGACACUCUCAUUGACCUCCAUACAAAAAUUCCUCACUUGGUGGGUGAACAUUUUUUAGGCCGAGUUACCCGUCUUCCUUCGCCUUCUACUCUCUUGCUCAGCUCAGUCACGAAGAGGAAGAACUUUGCAGCAGGUAAUUCCCAAACAAGGGAUGGUGGAAAAACAGAGUUACAGUGAAAACGGAUGAACCUGACAGAAUGCCACCAGCCAAACCCACGGAAGGCAUGUCCUGCUGUGUGAUAUUCAACAGUGAGGGUCACUGGAGCCCUCAGAGACCAGAGACUGGGCCGUUCACC